Molecule: RNA transcript, 2374 nt
Organism: Neltuma alba
Lineage: Eukaryota; Viridiplantae; Streptophyta; Magnoliopsida; Fabales; Fabaceae
Exons: 3
Source: RefSeq, a predicted model, not a curated record
AACUAAACAAAUCCCAUUUGAAGCUAAUAACAAGGUCCUCUGGCUUCCAAUUACCGAAGCAGACCUGCAGGUGUCAGGGACUCACUCACCGAUACAUAAGGCAAAUCCAGAGACCUCAGCUGAGGAAAUGGGCUUCACAAUGGGUCUGAAUCUUGUUCUUCUCGUCGCUAUGGUGGCCACCAAUAUCCUCGCCCUCUACCACCUCACCGCCUCCUCGUUUCAGCCUCCCAGUUCCCCGAAAACGACUCAACAUGUUCCCGAUCAGCUCCUCCAUCAACUCCAUACGAUACGCGCCACCGUGAAUCGACUCACGCGCCUUCAGCAGUCAUCUGGGAGUGACAAUCCUGCUUCCGCCACUAAACCCACUGUCCCUUCAGAUCUCUUGUUGUACUCUCGUUUGGCUCCUAUAGCUUCGGCUUGCCAUAACUACCCUGAGCUCCUGCACAAGUACAUGAGCUACACUCCUUUCUCGCUCUGCCCUUCAGAUUCCGACCUCGCUGAGACUCUCAUUCUCCGCGGGUGUCACCCUCUUCCUCGCCGGCGAUGUUUCACUAGAACCCCACAAAAACCUACUUCUUCUCUUCCACAUAACCCCUUCCCUUCGUCGCUCCCGAGCUCCAAUGUUAUCUGGGAUAAGUACUCCUGCAAAAGCUUUGAUUGCCUCAACCGCUUCAAUCCUAAUAUGGGUUUCGACCUAUCUCAAGAGAGCUCCAAAUUCAUGAGCUACAAGACCGAAUUGGAUCUCCCGCUCCCACAAUUGAUGCAAAUCGCAAAAUCGGCGAAAUCUGUUCUCCGUUUAGGUCUCGACAUCGGUGGUGGCACGGGGACCUUUGCUGCGAGAAUGAAGCUGCAUAAUGUGACGAUAGUGACUACAACCAUGAACGUGGCCGCGCCAUACAGUGAGGCCGUGGCGCUGAGGGGGUUGGUGCCGCUGCAUGUGCCGCUGCAGCAGAGGCUGCCAUUGUUCGAUGGUAUUGUGGAUCUUGUUCGAUGCGGUCGCGCAGUAAACCGGUGGAUCCCAUUAACGAUGAUGGAGUUUAUGUUCUAUGAUGUGGACAGAGUAUUGAGGGGCGGAGGGUAUCUGUGGAUAGAUCAAUUCUUCAGCAAGAGAGUGGACCUUGAAAAUGUUUAUGCCCCUUUGAUUGGAAAGUUUGGGUACAAAAAGGUGAAGUGGGCGAUCGGAAAUAAGACCGAUGCUACUGGGUUGAAGAAUGGAGAGGUUUACUUGACUGCCUUGCUUCAGAAGCCUCUAUCGAGAUGAAGUUAAAUACAGAGUUAGAUGUAUUAUGUGAGGAUGAUAUGAUCAGAAGUUAAUUUUCCUGAUCUUGCCUAUUCUAGACUUGUUCCUGGGACAAUCAACCACUUCAUGUUUACAGUUUGACGCAAUUAAUAAGGGGUUGGAUAGAUUUCCUCUCAUGGAACUCCUCACAAUUGCAUGACAUGAUUAGAUUCCUCUAACAUUAGAAAGGAACAUAACUCUAAUUUUAUCAAAUAAAAUAAUAGGUAACAAUCACAGUCGUUGCUCUUUAACCAUCCAUCUACUAUUUUUAGUGAGCUCACGUUUAUGAAGUUAGACGUAGUUCGAUUCAUGUGAGAAUAGAUCCUGGAUUAUGCUAGAAUUUUAGGUAGACAUGCAUUUCAGAUUACAGGAAGGCAGUUUGCACUAAAAUGCAUGGGCCUUACAUUCUAUGAUAAUCCUGGUAACUCUUGUUCAUGUUUUGAGCAAUUAAUGUCGAUAUCAUCUACUUACCAAAAAAAAAAAUGUCGAUAUCAUCUGGGGCUUUGCAUGUCACCCCCACACUUCACUUCUUACAGAGGAGGAAAAGAGUUCCCCCUUUAUAAGGGUCACUACUGUACGUUAGAAUAGCAUAAGCUUUAACAACUAGUUUAGCACGUGACUUUCUAUCAUUUGCUUUGACCUAAAGUUUAACAGUUUUUGAACCAAAAAAAAAAAUAAAGUCAAAAUUCACGAAACAUUUUUUGUAAUAUCAAAGUCUGCAUGAUUUUUCAGUAGGUUCUGUACCGAUGAUAAAUAAUCAUGUUAUUCUGCAACUCCCUGCAAUUUUGCUGUGCUUAGCAGUUCGUGAAGAAAUACUGAUACCUACUGGGACGGAUUGCUCUGGUUGCCGGUUGUAAACGUUGCGAAGGCAUCCACUCAAUGAAGGAAACUUAAAGGAAGAUAAAAUGGAAUUGUAUAUCGAUAGUGGUCUUGGGACAAAUGGCGAAGGAAAAUAUGCCCAAUAGACUUUUUUUUUUUUUUGCUCAUAGUUGUUUUUAUUGUUAUUUCAAUUAAUUGUUUAGAAAUAAAUUUUAGAAACGCCAAUUGCCUGGUUAGCAAUAAUUUUUUAAUACGAUGGGUAUUUUGAGGUUUGUC